AUCCUUGGGGUUUCUGACCGUCUAGGGGGCCUCGUAUGUACAAUGCCGGGUCUUCUAGAAGGUAUACUGAGUGGUCUUAGCGAAUAGACAAAGAAACAUAAUACAGUUGUGGAACUCAAGCUUCCAACAUGGAGGAAUCUGAAAAAUGAAAACUGACAAAAUGGAUCAUUUUCCAUCUUUUGAUUUUCUGAAAUGUUUUUGGAUCAUCUUUUUAUAGAGAUUUACAUAUUGAUUGUUUCUAU
Long non-coding RNA from Bufo bufo (common toad), 242 nucleotides. RefSeq lists it as uncharacterized. The transcript has 3 exons. The record is from RefSeq and is a predicted model, not a curated record. Lineage: Eukaryota; Metazoa; Chordata; Amphibia; Anura; Bufonidae.